GGAGGUGUAACUCAGCGGUAGAGUACAUGUUUAGCAAGCAUGAAUUGUUGGACUCAGUUUCACUCACCUCCU
This 72-nucleotide transfer RNA is filed under the name Cavia porcellus (domestic guinea pig). It matches the Rfam family "tRNA". Rfam says of the family: Transfer RNA (tRNA) molecules are approximately 80 nucleotides in length. Their secondary structure includes four short double-helical elements and three loops (D, anti-codon, and T loops). The record is from Rfam by way of RNAcentral. Lineage: Eukaryota; Metazoa; Chordata; Mammalia; Rodentia; Caviidae.